Blyttiomyces helicus is the source of this 82-nucleotide non-coding RNA. NCBI's taxonomy places the organism in Eukaryota, Fungi, Chytridiomycota, Chytridiomycetes. The record is from the annotation of a GenBank genome assembly.
GCACACUUGGCGGAGUGGUUUAACGCGCUGGAUUUAAGUUCCAGUAUCGAAAGAUGCGUGGGUUCGAACCCCACAGUGUGCA